GUAGAGACAGGGUUUCGCCAUGUUGCCUAGGCUGGUCUCCAACCUGGUCUCCUGGGCUCAAGCGAUCCGCCCGCCUCGGCCUCCCACAGUGCUGGGAUUCCAGGCGUGAGCUACCGCGCCCGGCCUAUUUACUUUUCUUACUAAGCUGGGGAUCACCGUCGCCCUCGGCUUGGCAGGAAGGCGGGGGUAGGGGAGCGGUGGGAAAGGGGGGUGGGCGACGACUCUGAUAGAGGGAAAAGAGGAAGGGAAAGUUGGGGCUUACUGCAGGGCAAGCUCCUUAGGAGAAGGUGGGGAGGAGGAAGGAGGGAGGUCCAGGCCCUUCUUCCAUCCCACGUCCUCCACUUCCCAAGGUGCAAGAAGAAAAGAGGUACAGAACACCCAGAGGUGCCCUCGAUUCCGUCUUGCACUUGCCCUUCUCCCACCGUCCAGCAAUAAAGCGAGAGAAACAAGUGCAGGAAACUGGCCGGCAGUCAUGGGAGAAGCCAAAAAGACAGGAGUUCAGUGGCAUGACCAGGGCUCACUGCAACCUUGAUCUGGGCUCAAGUGAUCCUCCUACCUCAGCUUCCUGAGUAGCUAGGACCACAGGUGUGCACCAACCACACCCGACUAAUUUUUGUAGAGAUGAGAUCCCACUAUGUUACCCAGGCUGGUCUUGAACUCCUGGGCUCAGGUGAUCAUCCUGCCUUGGCUUCCCAAAGUACUGGGAUUAUAGGCUUGAGCCACCGUGCCUGGCCUGUGAUCAGAAUUCUCAUUUUUUUAGUCACUAAAAAUGCUGGGGGGCACUCCAUUCUCCAUUAUGUGAUUAGUUCACAUUGCAUGCUUGUAUCAAAACAUCAUAUAUACCCCACAAAUAUAUACAAAAAACUUUAAAAUUUUAAGUAUUAAUUGCUCAGGAAAAAAUUAAAAUGCUGGGGUGCUGAAAUCUCAAGGGCCCCAUUACAAAACUCCUUAGGAACCUCGCCCUCUCUCUGCUGUAAGGACUGGUUCCAGAAUGAGAGAAUUUAAAAGACAUUCCCCCCCCAAAAUGUUCAUAAUGUCACCCCGGAAACCUGCGAAUAUGUUAUAUUACAUGACCAGGGAGAAGUAAGGUUGCAGAUGGCAGUAAGGUUGCUAAUGGGCUGACCUUAAGAUAAGGAGAUGAUCCUGGAUUAUCUGGGUGGACCCAAUGUAAUCACAAGGGUCCUUAACUGUGGAAUAGUGAGGUGGCUGAGUCAGAGGCAGAGUGAUGCAAUGACUGAAAGACUUAACCAGCCAUCACCGGCUUUGAAUACGGAAGACGGUCAUGAGCCAGGGAAUGCAGGCAGGCUCUGGGAGCUGAAAAAAGCAAGAAAAUGGAUUCUCCCCUGGAGCCUCCAGAAGGGAUGCGGUCCUGCCAACCCCUUGUCAGUGAGCCAUUUCAGAUUUCUGACUUCCAGGACUGUAAGAAAAUAAACUUGUCUUGUUUUCAGCCACCAA
Long non-coding RNA from Homo sapiens (human), 1455 nucleotides. Ensembl annotates it as C10orf95 antisense RNA 1. Its record names the gene C10orf95-AS1. NCBI's taxonomy places the organism in Eukaryota, Metazoa, Chordata, Mammalia, Primates, Hominidae. The record is from Ensembl.